Molecule: ribosomal RNA, 292 nt
Filed under: uncultured bacterium
Lineage: Bacteria
Description: partial 16S ribosomal RNA
Rfam family: Bacterial small subunit ribosomal RNA
Source: RNAcentral
GUGCCAGCCGCCGCGGUAAGACAGAGGGUGCAAACGUUGCUCGGAAUUACUGGGCGUAAAGCGCGUGUAGGCGGCUCCGUAAGUCGGGUGUGAAAUCCCUCGGCUCAACUGAGGAAGUGCACUCGAUACUGCAGAGCUAGAGUACCGGAGAGGGUGGUGGAAUUCCUGGUGUAGAGGUGAAAUUCGUAGAUAUCAGGAGGAACACCGGCGGCGAAGGCGGCCACCUGGACGGAUACUGACGCUCAGACGCGAAAGCGUGGGUAGCAAACAGGAUUAGAUACCCUGGUAGUCC